This 252-nucleotide ribosomal RNA is filed under the name uncultured bacterium. RNAcentral describes it as "partial 16S ribosomal RNA". It matches the Rfam family "Bacterial small subunit ribosomal RNA", at positions 524 to 775 of the family's 1533-position model. The record is from RNAcentral.
UACGAAGGGGGCUAGCGUUGCUCGGAAUCACUGGGCGUAAAGGGUGCGUAGGCGGGUCUUUAAGUCAGGGGUGAAAUCCUGGAGCUCAACUCCAGAACUGCCUUUGAUACUGAAGAUCUUGAGUUCGGGAGAGGUGAGUGGAACUGCGAGUGUAGAGGUGAAAUUCGUAGAUAUUCGCAAGAACACCAGUGGCGAAGGCGGCUCACUGGCCCGGUACUGACGCUGAGAUACGAAAGCGUGGGGAGCAACAGG